This 494-nucleotide ribosomal RNA is filed under the name uncultured bacterium. RNAcentral describes it as "partial 16S ribosomal RNA". It matches the Rfam family "Bacterial small subunit ribosomal RNA", at positions 28 to 507 of the family's 1533-position model. The record is from RNAcentral.
GACGAACGCUGGCGGCGUGCUUAACACAUGCAAGUCGAACGGUGACGCGCUUUCCUUUUUGGCGGGCGUGGAUGAGUGGCGAACGGGUGAGUAACACGUGAGUAACCUGCUUCCUCCUUCUGGAUAACCGCAUGAAAGUGUGGCUAAUACGGGAUACUACGGGCCUGUCGCAUCGUGGGUUCGGCAAAGCUUUCGUUUCGGUGGGGGCUGGGCUCGCGGCCUAUCAGGUUGUUGGUGGGGUGACGGCCUACCAAGGCGCUGAGGGGUAGCCGGCAUGAGAGGGUCGGCCGUCACAGUGGGGAGGAGACGUGGCGAAGACUCCGACGGGAAGCAGCAGGGGGGAAUAGAGCACGGGGGGAAGAAUGAUGAUGCAGUGACGCGGCGGGGGAGAAGGAGGUCUGCGGGUUGUGAACCUCUUUCGCCAGUGAAGCGGGCCUGCCUCAUUUGUGGGUGUGUUGACGGUAGCUGGAGAAGAAGCGCCGGCUAACUACGUG